GUCAAAAAAAGGAAGGCUCACGGUGGAGACCUAGGCUCUCAGAGACGAUGAAGGGCGCGAUACCGGCGAUACAGCUUUGGGGAGCUGGAAAAAAGCAUUGAUCCAAAGAUUCCCGAAUAGGGCAACCUCUAGAACUUCCUAUGAAUUCAUAAAUAGGAAAGAGGCAACCUGGUGAACUGAAACAUCUCAGUAGCCAGAGGAAAAGAAAGCAAAAGCGAUUCCCGUAGUAGCGGCGAGCGAACUGGGAACAGCCUAAACCAAUUUCAAUUGGGGUUGUGGGAACACAUUAUUUUUACUUUAUUUUUGAUUUUUGGAGCUCCUUUUUAAUCGGUUGAGAAGCUAGCUUCUCAACCGAUCCAAAAACCAAAAGGACGCUCAAAAAAGAGUAAAAAAACUCGAAAAAAGAGUUUAGUUUUAAAAGUUUGACUUUUAAGACACUUUUUAAGCCGUUUUUGAAUCGGUUGAGAAGCUAGCUUCUCAACUUAGGCUUUAACGAAGUUAAAGCCUUAGAGAUUCAAAAGUGCUUAAAAAACAAAAAACGGCUAAAAAAUGAGACGAAGCAGCUGAAUCCUGCACCAUAGAUGGUGAAAGUCCAGUAGUCAAGUUUUUUUUUUCGAAAUGUCUAUCCCGAGUAGCAUGGGGCACGUGGAAUCCCGUGUGAAUCUGCGAGGACCACCUCGUAAGGCUAAAUACUCCUGAGAGACCGAUAGCGAAAUAGUACAGCGAUGGAAAGGUGAAAAGAACCCCUGUAGGGGAGUGAAAUAGAACAUGAAAUCGUGAGCUGACAAGCAGUGGGAGGAUUUGUAAAUCUGACCGCGUGCCUGUUGAAGAAUGAGCCGGCGACUUAUAGGGAGUGGCGGGUUAAAGAGUAAUAUCUGGAGCCCAAGCGAAAGCGAGUCUGAAUAGGGCGAAAGUCACUUCUUAUGGACCCGAACCUGGAUGAUCUAACCAUGAGCAGGAUGAAGUUUAGGUAACACUGAAUGAAGGACCGGACCCACCGAUGUUGAAAAAUCGGGGGAUGACUUGUGGUUAGCGGAGAAAUUCCAAUCGAAUUCAGAGCUAGCUGGUUCUCCCCGAAAUGCGUUGAGGCGCAGCGGCAAUGAUGGGCGAUCUAAGGGUAGAGCGACUGUUUCGGUGCGGGCUGCGAAAGCGGUACCAAGUCGUGGCAAACUCCGAAUAUUAGAUUUGCUUUCCAUAUGCCAGUGAGAUAGUGGGGGAUAAGCUUCAUUAUCAAGAGGGAAACAGCCCAGAUCACCAGCUAAGGCCCCUAAAUGGCUCCUAAGUGGAAAAGGAUGUGGGGAUGCAGAAACAACCAGGAAAUUCGCUUAGAAGCAGCUAAUUUUUAAAGAGUGCGUAAUAGCUCACUGGUAAAGCGUACCUGCGCCGACAAUGGCCGGGACUAAGGAGCCUGCCGAAGCUGUGAGAUUUGUUUUUAUUAAAACGAAUCGGUAGGGGAGCGUUCUGCAUCGGGUGAAGCUUUAACGUAAGUUUGAGUGGACGAUGCGGAAGUGAGAAUGUCGGCUUGAGUAACGAAAACAUUGGUGAGAAUCCAAUGCCCCGAAAACCUAAGGGUUCCUCUACAAGGUUCGUCCGUGGGGGGUGAGUCAGGACCUAAGGCGAGGCCGACAGGCGUAGUCGAUGGCAAACAGGUUAAUAUUCCUGUACUUUUUUGUUUGGGAACCGAGGGACGAAGGAGGCUAAAUUGAGUCUGUGAAUGGAAUGCAGUGGAAGCGUCCAAGGCUUCUUUUGAAACCAGAUCGAAGAAAAACGAUUUUGGUGCUGAGGCGUGAUCCCGCUCUCCUGAACUUGUUUGGGUUGGGCGUCAAUGAUGUCAUACUUCCGAGAAAAGCUCGUACACCAUCUCUUUUAGAGAUAAAACAUGCAAAAAACCUGUACCUGAAACCGACACAGGUAGGUAGGUAGAGAAUACCAAGGGGCGCAAGAGAACUCUCUCUAAGGAACUCGGCAAACUGGCCCCGUAACUUCGGAAGAAGGGGCGCCCUUGAGAAAUUAAGGGUCGCAGUGACCAGGUUCAGGCGACUGUUUAUCAAAAACACAGGUCUCCGCAAAGUCGUAAGACAAUAUAUGGGGGCUGACGCCUGCCCAGUGCCGGAAGGUGAAGGAAGUUGGUUAUUUUGCUUGCCAAAAGAAGCUGACGACCGAAGCCCCGGUGAACGGCAGCUGUAACUAUGACAGUUCUAAGGUAGCGAAAUUCAUUGUCGAGUAAGUUUCGACCUGCACGAAAGGCGUAACGAUCUGAACGCUGUCUCAGAGAGAGACUUGGUGAAAUAGACUUGUCCGUGAAGAUGCGGACUAAUAACACUUGGACAGAAAGACCCUAUGAAGCUUGACUGUAUCCUGGAAUUGGGUUCGGGCUUUUCUUGCGCAGUCUAGGUGGGAGGCAUUGAAGAUUUCCUUCCGGGGAAGUUGGAGCCAUCAGUGAGAGACCACUCUGGAGAGGCUAGAAUCCUAAUGGUGAUCCUUGAAUCAGGACACUUGACGUUUUCAGGUGGGCAGUUUGUUUGGGGCGAACGCCUCAUAAAAGGUAACUGAGGCGCGCAAAGGUUCCCUCAGUCUGGACGGAAAUCAGACUAAGAGUGUAAAGGCAAAAGGGAGCUUGACUGUAAGACCUACAAGUCGAGCAGGGGCGAAAGCCGGCCUUAGUGAUCCGACGGUGCCGUGUGGAAGGGCCGUCGCUCAACGGAUAAAAGUUACUCUAGGGAUAACAGGCUGAUCUUCUCCAAGAGUUCAUAUCGACGAGAAGGUUUGGCACCUCGAUGUCGGCUCAUCACAUCCUGGGGCUGUAGUAGGUCCCAAGGGUUGGGCUGUUCGCCCAUUAAAGUGGUACGUGAGCUGGGUUCAAAACGUCGUAAGACAGUUUGGUCCAUAUCCGGUGUUAUCGUUAGAGCAUUGAGAGGACCCAUCCCUAGUACGAGAGGAUUGGGAUGGUCGUGCCUAUGGUGUAUCAGUUCUUUCUCCAGAAGGAAACGCUGAGUAGCUACGCACGGUUUAGAUAACCGCUGAAAGCAUCUAAGUGGGAAGCUUUCCUCAAGAUGAGUGCUCUCCAUUAUGCCACAGCUAGACAAGCUGAUUAAUAGGUAUCAGGUAAAAGAUCAGUAAUGAUUUCAGCCGAGAUAUACUAAAGGCCGAUUGAUUUUGAC
This 3161-nucleotide ribosomal RNA is filed under the name Chlorotetraedron incus. RNAcentral's name for it is "LSU rRNA". It matches the Rfam family "Bacterial large subunit ribosomal RNA". Lineage: Eukaryota; Viridiplantae; Chlorophyta; Chlorophyceae; Sphaeropleales; Neochloridaceae. The record is from RNAcentral.